Megalobrama amblycephala (Wuchang bream) is the source of this 1113-nucleotide long non-coding RNA. RefSeq lists it as uncharacterized. Lineage: Eukaryota; Metazoa; Chordata; Actinopteri; Cypriniformes; Xenocyprididae. The record is from RefSeq and is a predicted model, not a curated record. The transcript has 5 exons.
AAAGGUUUUCGGGUGUGGAACGACAUGAGACAGCUGGAGGAGAGACGGCCUGUGCGGCAACAACAAGACAAUGAUGAUUAUAAGCAGGGGUGGACUGCACGGAUCCAGGAUCAAGAGAUCAUUCAUCAUGAAAACCAUGUUCCAGGAGAAGCAGGUCUGCUUGAUCAUUUUGCUGUCCUGGAUGUGAGAACAUUGUCAAAAUGUUUGUCAAUCAGCAUCCAGCCAUAAAAGCAGACUUCUCGUUAAAAGGCUCAGGAGGACAAACAGUUCUGCAUGGAUUUCAAGGUUAUGGACAGAGCAACAUCUCCAUUCCAUUAUGGACAGACCAACAUCUCCGGAGUAAAGGUGAGAAGCAGAUUUUAAAAAUAAAGGUCAAGGUGGUAUUUUGGUCGUUAGGACGUACCUGCCACGUUCCAGCAACAUACCACUAAAACGUCGCCACAACGAAUAUGGGAAUCACAAAGUUACGUCGCUGGAACUUUAUUAGGAACGUUGUUGCAACUAAUAUGAGCCGAUCCAGUUACGUUUUUAACAUGCCAGUUUGGUCGUUGAGACGUUAUUGUCACGUUCCAGCAACGUACAGCUAUAACGUCGUCAUGACAAAUAUGGGAAUCGCAAAUCUACAUCACUGGAACGUUAUUUGGAACUUCGCUGUGACUAAUAUGAACCAAUCUGGUUGCGAUUUUACAACGUGCCAGUUUGGUCGUUGAGAUGUACUCCUCACGUUACAGAGUAGCCUACCACUAUAACGUCACCACGACGAUAUGGGAAUCACAAAGUUGCAUCACUGGAAUGUUAUUUGGUACGUUGCUACAAUGAAUAUGGUCCGGUCCAAUUACAUCAUCACAACGUAACUGUGUUAGCUGGGUAUGGCUGAGAGAGAGCUUACUCGGAUGAAAACCACUUCAGUGAGCUCAAUUAUAGUAACGCGGAAUUUUUUUUUUUUUUUUUGUCAGUAACAGUAAUGGCGUUGUAACGGGGGAAAAGUCAUUCAUUUGAUUAGUCGUUACUGAAAAAAGUAACACUGUUUAUUUAUAAUGCCGUUAUUCCCAUCACUGGUGAUUACUUAUGUUUUAUUAUCCUAACACUUCUCUUCAUGUGUUUUUUGACCUC